Pteropus alecto (black flying fox) is the source of this 116-nucleotide non-coding RNA. NCBI's taxonomy places the organism in Eukaryota, Metazoa, Chordata, Mammalia, Chiroptera, Pteropodidae. The record is from Rfam.
GUCUACGGCCGUGCAACCCUGAACAAGCCCAGUGUCUGACCUUGGAAGCUAAGCAGGGUCGGGCCUGGUUAGUACUUGGAUGGGAGACCACCCAGGAAGACCAGGUGCUGUAGGUG